AACGAACGCUGGCGGCAUGCCUAACACAUGCAAGUCGAACGAGACCUUCGGGUCUAGUGGCGCACGGGUGCGUAACGCGUGGGAACCUGCCCUUAGGUUCGGAAUAACUCCCCGACAGGGGUGCUAAUACCGGAUAAUGUCUUCGGACCAAAGAUUUAUCGCCUUUGGAUGGGCCCGCGUUGGAUUAGCUAGUUGGUAGGGUAAAAGCCUACCAAGGCGACGAUCCAUAGCUGGUCUGAGAGGAUGAUCAGCCACACUGGGACUGAGACACGGCCCAGACUCCUACGGGAGGCAGCAGUGGGGAAUAUUAGACAAUGGACGAAAGCCUGAUCCAGCAAUGCCGCGUGAGUUAUGAAGGCCUUAGGGUUGUAAAGCUCUUUUACCCGGGAUGAUAAUGACAGUACCGGGAGAAUAAGCACCGGCUAACUCCGUG
This 433-nucleotide ribosomal RNA is filed under the name uncultured bacterium. RNAcentral describes it as "partial 16S ribosomal RNA". It matches the Rfam family "Bacterial small subunit ribosomal RNA", at positions 29 to 507 of the family's 1533-position model. The record is from RNAcentral.